This 1205-nucleotide ribosomal RNA is filed under the name Campylobacter jejuni. Its description in RNAcentral is "partial 23S ribosomal RNA". It matches the Rfam family "Bacterial large subunit ribosomal RNA", at positions 1 to 1223 of the family's 2925-position model. The record is from RNAcentral. Lineage: Bacteria; Pseudomonadati; Campylobacterota; Epsilonproteobacteria; Campylobacterales; Campylobacteraceae.
AGGUAAGCUACUAAGAGCGAAUGGUGGAUGCCUUGACUGGUAAAGGCGAUGAAGGACGUACUAGACUGCGAUAAGCUACGGGGAGCUGUCAAGAAGCUUUGAUCCGUAGAUUUCCGAAUGGGGCAACCCAAUGUAUAGAGAUAUACAUUACCUAUAUAGGAGCGAACGAGGGGAAUUGAAACAUCUUAGUACCCUCAGGAAAAGAAAUCAAUAGAGAUUGCGUCAGUAGCGGCGAGCGAAAGCGCAAGAGGGCAAACCCAGUGCUUGCACUGGGGGUUGUAGGACUGCAAUGUGCAAGAGGUAAGUUUAGCAGAACAUUCUGGAAAGUAUAACCAUAGAGGGUGAUAGUCCCGUAUGCGAAAAACAAACCUUAGCUAGCAGUAUCCUGAGUAGGGCGGGACACGAGGAAUCCUGUCUGAAUCCGGGUCGACCACGAUCCAACCCUAAAUACUAAUACCAGAUCGAUAGUGCACAAGUACCGUGAGGGAAAGGUGAAAAGAACUGAGGUGAUCAGAGUGAAAUAGAACCUGAAACCAUUUGCUUACAAUCAUUCAGAGCCCUAUGUAGCAAUACAGGGUGAUGGACUGCCUUUUGCAUAAUGAGCCUGCGAGUUGUGGUGUCUGGCAAGGUUAAGCAAACGCGAAGCCGUAGCGAAAGCGAGUCUGAAUAGGGCGCUUAGUCAGAUGCUGCAGACCCGAAACGAAGUGAUCUAUCCAUGAGCAAGUUGAAGCUAGUGUAAGAACUAGUGGAGGACUGAACCCAUAGGCGUUGAAAAGCCCCGGGAUGACUUGUGGAUAGGGGUGAAAGGCCAAUCAAACUUCGUGAUAGCUGGUUCUCUCCGAAAUAUAUUUAGGUAUAGCGUUGUGUCGUAAUAUAAGGGGGUAGAGCACUGAAUGGGCUAGGGCAUACACCAAUGUACCAAACCCUAUCAAACUCCGAAUACCUUAUAUGUAAUCACAGCAGUCAGGCGGCGAGUGAUAAAAUCCGUCGUCAAGAGGGAAACAACCCAGACUACCAGCUAAGGUCCCUAAAUCUUACUUAAGUGGAAAACGAUGUGAAGUUACUUAAACAACCAGGAGGUUGGCUUAGAAGCAGCCAUCCUUUAAAGAAAGCGUAAUAGCUCACUGGUCUAGUGAUUUUGCGCGGAAAAUAUAACGGGGCUAAAGUAAGUACCGAAGCUGUAGACUUGCACACAACUUAGAUUA